Molecule: long non-coding RNA, 573 nt
Organism: Syzygium oleosum
Lineage: Eukaryota; Viridiplantae; Streptophyta; Magnoliopsida; Myrtales; Myrtaceae
Exons: 3
Source: RefSeq, a predicted model, not a curated record
GGAUGAGCCUUUCGAUGUAUGCUUCUGUGACUAAUAUCAUCCCCAACUUGGGUGACGGCUCCAAAAUUUCAGGAUAUAUUGUUGACCGGGAGAAAAGGGUGGUGGAUAGAUUUGAGUUCGACUCGACAAAGAUGACUGCCUUUGACACAUGCACAAAUAUCUGGAGGAUGAUUAGUAACUCAUAGGUGGAGGGUAGGUGAAUGAUCUCCUUCGGGAAGAAGCCGAAUGGAAUAUCCUCCAAAUCUUGGGGGAUCGGUCGAUUCCUCUCUUCAUUAGUGAAAGUACUAACAGGAACGAAGUCUAAUUCGGCACAUUUUUCCGGUAUGACACCUGUGUGUUUUCGAGAAAUCGGGAUGGACCCCCGAACGCUGUCGAGGUGGGGAUGGGGACCGAAUUGAGCGCUUAACCGUCUUUCCGGGUCAUUCCAUUUUUAGCAAACUAUGGCUAGGUGUAGGGGAAGAACUUGUAUGUGCAAAAUGCAGGUUUUUGGGUGUGUUCUUGUGAAUCAUACCGUGCUAGCAUCUUUUGAGGUGACAUGAGCAGUUAAUCCAUGUUUAUUUUUUUUCUUGUUUA